CACGUAGGGGGCAAGCGUUGUCCGGAUUUACUGGGCGUAAAGCGCGCGUAGGCGGCUGGUUAGGUUCCAUCGUGAAAGGCAGGGCUCAACCCCUGGACUGCGAGGAAAACCGGCCGGCUGGAGAGAGGCAGAGGAAGGUGGAAUGGCUGGUGGAGCGGUGAAAUGCGUAGAUAUCGUAAGGAAGACCAGUGGCGAAGGCGGGUCUCUGGACAGUUCCUGACGCUGAGGCACGAAGGCCAGGGGAGCAAACGGG
Molecule: ribosomal RNA, 253 nt
Filed under: uncultured bacterium
Lineage: Bacteria
Description: partial 16S ribosomal RNA
Rfam family: Bacterial small subunit ribosomal RNA
Source: RNAcentral